UAAGGAAUAUUGCUCAAUGGGAGAAAUCCUGAAGCAGCAACGCCGCGUGGAGGAUGAAGGGUCUAUGACUUGUAAACUCCUGUAAAGAAGGAAAAAAUUCCCAUUUGAUGGGAGAUGAUGGUACUUCUGGAGUAAGCCCCGGCUAACUACGUGCCAGCAGCCGCGGUAAUACGUAGGGGGCAAGCGUUGUCCGGAUUUCCUGGGUUUAAAGGGUGCGUAGGUGGGCUUAUAAGUCAGUGGUGAAAUCUCCGAGCUUAACUUGGAAACUUCCGUUGAUACUAGAGGUCUUGAAUUAUCUGGAGGUAAGCGGAAUAUGUCAUGUAGCGGUGAAAUGCUUAGAUAUGACAUAGAACACCAAUUGCGAAGGCAGCUUACUACAUAUAAAUUGACGCUGAGGCACGAAAGCGUGGGGA
This 413-nucleotide ribosomal RNA is filed under the name uncultured bacterium. RNAcentral describes it as "bacterial SSU rRNA". It matches the Rfam family "Bacterial small subunit ribosomal RNA", at positions 355 to 767 of the family's 1533-position model. The record is from RNAcentral.